RNAcentral lists this ribosomal RNA (513 nucleotides) under uncultured microorganism. Its description in RNAcentral is "bacterial SSU rRNA". It matches the Rfam family "Bacterial small subunit ribosomal RNA", at positions 9 to 524 of the family's 1533-position model. The record is from RNAcentral.
GAGUUUGAUCCUGGCUCAGGAUGAACGCUGGCGGCGUGCUUAACACAUGCAAGUCGAACGAGGAAUUUUAAAUGAGACUUCGGUGGAUUUUAAAAUUCUUAGUGGCGGACGGGUGAGUAACGCGUGGGCAACCUGCCCUGUACAGGGGGGACAACAGCUGGAAACGGCUGCUAAUACCGCAUAAGACCACGGAGCCGCAUGGCUCAGUGGGAAAAACUCCGGUGGUACAGGAUGGGCCCGCGUUGGAUUAGGUAGUUGGUGAGGUAACGGCCCACCAAGCCGACGAUCCAUAGCCGACCUGAGAGGGUGACCGGCCACGUUGGGACUGAGACACGGCCCAAACUCCUACGGGAGGCAGCAGUGGGGAAUCUUCCGCAAUGGGCGAAAGCCUGACGGAGCAACGCCGCGUGAGUGAAGAAUUAUUUCGGUAUGUAAAGCUCUAUCAGCAGGGAAGAAAAUGACGGUACCUGACUAAGAAGCCCCGGCUAACUACGUGCCAGCCGCCGCGGUAAG